Molecule: long non-coding RNA, 945 nt
Filed under: Olea europaea subsp. europaea
Lineage: Eukaryota; Viridiplantae; Streptophyta; Magnoliopsida; Lamiales; Oleaceae
Source: RNAcentral
ACAGAGAGCUGAGAACGGGAGAGGUUGGAAAAAAUCGAGAAUGGAAAGGAAGAAAAAGAAGAAAAGAAAGGAAAGGAAGAAGUUGAUGACUUUUGCAAGUUUGGGUUCUUCAUUUCUUCAAUUUAUGCUUCUUUUAAAGAGGUACGUUAAUUAAAUUUCUAGGGUUUAUGAACAAUUCAUUUAUAUUCGAAGUCUAGCAAGAAUUAGAGAUUAUUAAUAUAUAUUUGAGGUAUUAAACAAGAGUAUAUCAAGGAAAUUUAUAAAGAAAGAUUGAUGUUGUAGAAAGUGAAAUUUUGAAAAUGGAAAUGGAUACCUAUUCUUUGUUUUUUUGUGAUUAUAUGGUGUCAACCACUUAAUUUAAGGACAUGAGGUUUGAUUUCUCCAUUUUAAGCUAUUUUGUGCAAUUUUAAUACACAUUGCUGAUUUGUAAUUUUGCCCAGAAAAGUGCCAUUUCUGUCAAUUGUUUUGGUGAUAAUUUUUAGUGUACAAAAACUGGUUUUACAGUUCCAUAUUCUGGAAUUUUAGUUUUAUUUUUGUCUAACCUUUGAUUUUCACAUUUUAAAGGCUUGAAUGAAGUUAUAUGAGAAGUAUUGACGUUUAUGUAGUAGACUAAAUUAUGUAUAGGGGUUGUAUAAUGUAUUGAUUUUAAGCAAGUGCAAGUGAUUUAAUGGAUUUGAUAAUGAAUGGUGAUUAGUUGAUAAAUCAUUAGAGAGAAGAAAAGUUGGAGAGUUGGAGCUAUAAGAGUAAAUAUAGAAAUUGAGAAGUUAAUAGGUGAAUUUGUAUUAAUUUAAUUGUCAUAUAUUAAUUUGAGGAAUUAUACCUUGUUUCAGGUAGGGACGUAAAAGGUUGAAAAGGUUAGUCAAUUAAAUCAAGUUUUCAUAUAUAGUUCUCUGAGUGGAAGACCUACUUUUCUAAAAGUAAUAUUUUCUUUUUAUUUUAUAGAAG